GCCAAUCCUCUCCCUCUUCUAAACCCUAACCCUAAAAUGUCCCUCCUCUCCGCCGCCGCCGCCAUCGCCGCCGUGGCGGCUCUUUUCCUCCUCCCGCCGCCGGCCGCCGCGAGGAUCCCCGGCGUCUUCACCGGCGGGCCGUGGGAGAGCGCGCACGCCACCUUCUACGGCGGCAGCGAUGCCUCCGGCACCAUGGGUGGG
This 201-nucleotide unclassified non-coding RNA is filed under the name Hevea brasiliensis (rubber tree). The record is from RNAcentral. Lineage: Eukaryota; Viridiplantae; Streptophyta; Magnoliopsida; Malpighiales; Euphorbiaceae.